Molecule: transfer RNA, 76 nt
Filed under: Synergistes jonesii
Lineage: Bacteria; Thermotogati; Synergistota; Synergistia; Synergistales; Synergistaceae
Also listed under: 1 other name
Description: tRNA-Gln
Rfam family: tRNA
About the family: Transfer RNA (tRNA) molecules are approximately 80 nucleotides in length. Their secondary structure includes four short double-helical elements and three loops (D, anti-codon, and T loops).
Source: RNAcentral
UGGGGUGUAGCCAAGCGGCCCAAGGCAUCGGACUUUGACUCCGACAUCGAUGGUUCGAGUCCAUCCACCCCAGCCA